UCGCGGCCGCAGUUCGCGGUUGUGGCAGCGACGGCGGCGGCUGGCUCCCAUCUCGGCUUUUUGCGCGGCCAAAAACGGCCACGGAGCUGGAAAAUCGAAACUGGCAACAAGAUGUGGCUGCCAUUAAUUACCGUAGCGGCAACACUGAGCUUCUCCCUCCAGCUGCUCGUUCCUAUGGAUCGUAUGGCAUGUGCCCGAGAUAGGAAAGAAGACUAUAUCUGUUACAUAGAUGUUUAAUCCAUUCAAGUAUGUCCAAUCAGGACGAUUUGUGACUUCCUAUAAAUGCCUGUCGCAUUGUAGCGCCGAUCCCGAGAUCUUUAUCUGGACCUUGACCUGUGGCUGUGGUGGAAGCCCUUAUCCGACAUUGGCGGCGACAAUGCGACAUUUGUGAGCAGCAGAAGCGGAGCAUCUCCGCUGAUGCUGAUGCUGAUGCCGAUGCUGACACCUUUGCUGGUCUCGGGAAGAGGAGUCAUGAGAACGCAGACACAGACGCGGGCAAAUUAGAAUAACUUAAAUACACGGCGGCACGCAUUAAGCGGCACCGGGUUCCGGGGCAGCGAUAUUAUCAUCUGAAUCGGCAUCGCCAGCGAGCCGCUGCGAAUCCUUUUUCACUCUUCUCUCGCCCGCUAUCAAAAAGUAAUAAAUCUGCCGCUGAUCCAU
Long non-coding RNA from Drosophila miranda, 660 nucleotides. RefSeq lists it as uncharacterized. The transcript has 3 exons. NCBI's taxonomy places the organism in Eukaryota, Metazoa, Arthropoda, Insecta, Diptera, Drosophilidae. The record is from RefSeq and is a predicted model, not a curated record.